UACAGAGGGGGCAAGCGUUGUUCGGAAUUACUGGGCGUAAAGGGCGCGUAGGCGGCCCGCUAAGUCGAACGUGAAAUCCCCGAGCUCAACUCGGGAACUGCGUCCGAUACUGGCGGGCUUGAAUCCGGGAGAGGGAUGCGGAAUUCCAGGUGUAGCGGUGAAAUGCGUAGAUAUCUGGAGGAACACCGGUGGCGAAGGCGGCGUCCUGGACCAACACUGACACUGAGGAGCGAAAGCCAGGGGAGCAAACGGG
This 253-nucleotide ribosomal RNA is filed under the name uncultured bacterium. Its description in RNAcentral is "partial 16S ribosomal RNA". It matches the Rfam family "Bacterial small subunit ribosomal RNA", at positions 524 to 776 of the family's 1533-position model. The record is from RNAcentral.